AUGUAUAAUCAAUUAUUUGGGCAUUACUCUUGUAUCCACAGGUUGAUGACAAAUGAGGUCAUGGCCUGUUUCAGUAUGAAGUGGGGGAAGGGGAAGCUUGCCUUCACCAAGAUCAAUCUGUACACUGUUGUCACAGAGAGUGUCCAGAAAACAUCAAAAGAGACGGGGCAAAUAUUGCAGCGGCCACCGCCUUUUGUUUAAAAUAUGCCCCAGCAGAGCCGUCGCAAGGAGGGUGAGAGGCCCUGUGCAAAGUUGACAUGCGAGGCCCUCUACAAUUUUGCGUGUGUGUGUGUGUGGUGGGGGAGGUUGCUGUAGUAAGGCAAGGCAAGUUUAUUUAUAUAACAGAUUUCGUACACAAUGGUAAUUCAAAGUGCUUUACAUAAAAUAAAGUAAAAUAAUCAUGAAGAACAAAACUAAAAACAAGCAAUUUUAAAACUUUGGAAAUGAUUUAAAAAUUGACUUGAAUUUAAAACAGUUAGAAAUAGAAAAUGAUUUUACAUAAAAUACAGUGAAUACGUAAAAUACAGUGCAAUCAGGUCGGACAUCGCACAGUGCUCAUUAAAUAAAUGCACAGCUAAACAGAUGAGUUUUGAGUCUAGAUUUAAAUGUGACUAGUGUUUUAGCACAUCUGAUCUCUUCUGGAAGCUGAUUCUGGAAGCAAUGUAUUUUGGUCCUAGGUCACUGAGUGACUUCUAGACGAGUAAAAGUACUUUAAAAUCAAUCCUAAAUGUAACUGGAAGCCAGUGUAAGGACCUGAGGACUGGUGUGAUAUGCUCAGAUGUUCUGGUUCUAGUCAGAAUCCUGGCAGCAGCAUUCUGGAUGAGCUGCAUCAUUUUUGAAAAAAGAUGUGGGAAGUGUGUCAAGAUAGCAAGUUGACGAUUUUAGUUGCUGCACUAUGUCUUCCAAAAUGUUGCUAUCAAUUGCUUCAAAAUAGACAGUAUCUUUUUGAUACUGCAGCCGAAUCUGUCUGACCUCUGCAUUGCUUGAGGAUGUGCUAAUCGCCUUCCUGAUAUUGAUGAUCUUCUCAGAAAAGAAGGAAGCAAACUCAUUGCAUUUGCAGUCUGACAGCAUUUCACUGGGAAUCUGACUCUGGGAAACUGAUUUCUGUCUGUUUGUUUUCUUACUGACUAUUAUUGGAGCAAUAUCAUUAAUACCAUUCUUAACUUUUGAGUUAAAGGAAUCAAGGAGAAUAUCAACAGAGUCCGCAAAAAUACUUAGUGUUAAAGAUAUAGCCUCCAUAAAUAGUACACUAGUGUUCUCGUUAGGUCUGCACUAUUAAUCGCAUGCAAUUGUCAUGCGCGUCUCGUCAGUAAAGCUGGUUCUGUGAUUAGCGCUUAAUGUCCAGAGCCGUAGUUCGCUGACGCAAUAUCACGUUCAUAACCGCAUGCGAUUCAUCUGCGAUUAUGAACGCGAUAUUGCGCCGCUUGUCAGCAAACUACGGCUCGGUCUAUUAAGUGCAGCUACAUUUGAAAGCAUCUCCUUCUGACAGAGACAGAUCUAGAUUCAGUGGUAGCAGAGAUCAAUAUAUCAAAGAAAAUACAGAAGUGAUCAGAUAGUGCUACGUCCUUAAUAACAAUGGAUGAAAUGUUUAGAGCCCUACUGAUGAUUAAAUCUAGAGUGUGUCCACCUUUGUGUGUGGGUCCAUGCACAUGCUGAAUCAGGUCAAAAGUGUUUACAACCGUUAUCAUUUCUUUUGUAGUUUUGUUUUCUGCAUUAUCUAUGUGAAUAUUAAAAUCCCCUGCAAUAGCAAAAACAGUCAAACUCUGAGGAAAUCAUUGAUAACAUUUCUGUGACCUCUUCAACAAAGGCUGGAGAGUAUUUUUGGAGGCCUGUAAAUAAUGAUAAACAGAAUGCAUGGAGCACCUUUCAGCACAAUUUCUAGAUAUUCAAAAGACAAGUACUGACCAAAUGACACUUGCUUGCAUUGAUAGACAUCUUUAAAUAGAGCAGCUACACCUCCACCCCUCCUAACAGUCCUGCAGACACUCAUGAAAGUAAAGUUAGGAGGGGCUGCUUCAUUGAGGACUGUUGCACUGCAGCUGUCUUCUAGCCAUGUUUCAUUUAGAAACAUAAAAUCCAGAUUGUUUGUGGUUAUAAAGUCAUUGAUUAGAAAAUGAUUAAUUUUUUAGUGACCGAAUGUUUAAAGAUGCUAACUUGAUGGCAGUGCUUUAUGUCAUUACAUCAAUUUUAGUUUGAUGCAUAAUAGGCUGCAGAUUAGAUGAGUUUGCCCUUCGGCUUGAGAUGGACUUAAACUUUCUGUCACAUGAUAAAACUGAAAUAGAGAAAGCUACAGGCACACUGGGUUCCCGCUUGUUCUUUAAACAUUUGUGAAUGUUGCUGCUAUUAUAGCGGGGACCCGACACAUAUCACUGAGAUCUGCUAUCAGUUGUUUUUGGUUCACCUACAGCAGAUGGAGGGUUUGGGCCCUGGCAUUGUGGCAGCGGUCGGAGAGCUCUCACAGGAGCAGGUCCCACAGGCUUUGGUGUUUGGGGGGCCCGCUGUUUUCUUGUUGAUAUCUGCGGGCUUGCAACGAAUGAGUGUGAGAGUUUAGUCCCAGCAUACACCAAUUCUACCAUUUUCUGUGAAAAGCACAGAAGUGGAGAUGCUGGAGAGAGGGAUAAUUUGUCCGGUGAGAGGGGCUGUGUCUCUGGUGUUUCCGGUGACUGUGAUAUGUUGUCCUGGCUUCCCCGGCUGUCUUCCAGAAAGUCAUCCUUGAGUGCUGAGUCUUGUAGCUGUUUUGAUACAUCACAGUCUGUCUGUGAGGAGCUCUGAGGGCAGGGCUCGGCCGGGAUGGUGUCCAUCAGCAGUGCUUAUUGUGGCUGGAUGGUGUUAUCAGUUGGGAGUGGUCCACUGAUGAACUUUGAGUCUUCAAAGUGUUUGAAAAAGGUUCACUAAAGUCCUUCUUAAGGAGUUCUGACUGAUCUUUCAGAGUAUCAUUCUUCCCCACAUGGAUGACAAUUGGAUUUGUAGUCUUGUGCUUCAUCAGAAUAUUCUGAAGUUCCUUGUUCACAUCAGAGACCAUUGCUUGAGGAAGGCAGCAUGUUGUUGUAGUCCUGCUACUGAUGUUUCUGAUAAUAGAGUCACCCACUAUCAGAGUCCUGGGCUCGACUGCGCUCUGAGCUGAAUGUCAUUGUCUGCUCGACCUUGAGCACCUGUUAGUAGCAGUGUUAGCUGCUGGCUGAUCCGAUAGAUGUUUAAUCACAUUUGGGGAUUUCUCACCCGCAUUCAUUAAUGCUUCAAAUCUGUUCUCAAGAUGUAUAGGGGGUGGUAGAAUACUGGUAUUCACAAGCCUUGUCAUAGUCGAAUCUGGGGUAGUGGAUGCUACAGCAGCAAUACGAGAAACUCGUGACAAUCUGAUGUCUCGUGUUCCUUUGGGUCUCGCUCCCUGUUUGUGCCAUCGAUUAGUGUGGCGAUCAGUUUUGGCUUGUUCCUCUACACUUGGUAUAAACUGUUGAGAUUCAGAAGAUUCAUGGGACUCACCGGCUGUAUGCUGAGAGGGUCCAUGACGAUGGUCUGUUAAAUGUUCCGUCUGUUUUGGAAGUCCGGCAAGUAACUUUGUUUCAAGAAUCACAAUCCUUUGUAGAAGUUUGCAGCAGUUCAUGCAACAAGUGGAUCCAACAGGAGGCAUUUUCUCUCUCUUCUCUUUGAAUGUAGGCAGUUGUUAUCCCAUCUCCGGAAUGUAAGCUGCUGGCAGUGGGAGGCAAAGUCUUCAUUUGUAGUACUAUUCCAGUCCCAAAGUUUUUAGUUUUAGUGUUUGUGCCAAAAAUCUUUUGUUUGAGCACUGUGCUGAUCUUCUGAAGUAAAAAAUCUUAGAAAAAUCUGAGAAAAGUACAGAAAUAAGAAGCAAAGCGGAGAACAGUAAGCUAGAACGUCCGAACGGUAGCGAAGCCGGAACCGUAACAAACUCAACUUUAACAUGCAUCUGUCCGAUUGUGAUGCCUUGCUUACUGACAUGCUUGCGCACAAAUCACGGCCACGCACUAGCUCAUAAGGAUCUACAAUCAUAAUAAUAAUAAUAAUAAGUUAAUAAGAAUGCUUAAAUUAGUUCUAGGCUUGUAGACAGUUAUAUAUAAAGAGUUCAGAUGGAAAAGCCUCUAAGUGCGAUCCAACAUUUUCUUCUAAAAUAAUUAUUUUCUCAUCCUCCUAUGUUUAUGUUCAGUUAUUUCACUUUAAUGGGAAAGAAAAGAAACUGUUCAUUGCUAUUAAAGUGAAAUUACUGAACCUACACAUGGGAGCCUGAUAAAAUUUGUAUUUUUUAGAAGAAAAUUUCAAACGGCACUAGGUUUUUUUGCAGCUGAACUUUUCACA
Cyprinus carpio carpio is the source of this 4308-nucleotide long non-coding RNA. The record is from Ensembl. NCBI's taxonomy places the organism in Eukaryota, Metazoa, Chordata, Actinopteri, Cypriniformes, Cyprinidae.